Molecule: non-coding RNA, 587 nt
Organism: Anolis sagrei ordinatus
Lineage: Eukaryota; Metazoa; Chordata; Lepidosauria; Squamata; Anolidae
Source: RefSeq, a predicted model, not a curated record
UUAAGCAGUCUGUAGCUACCUUUUACCCACUUGAGGAUUUUGGUUAAGAAAACACAAUUAAAAUGGUAUUUUUGUUCUAACAGUGUGGGACAGAGACAGCUUGUUUGCCUUGCUCGGGCUUUAUUGCGGAAGACCAAAGUAUUAAUAUUGGAUGAAGCAACAGCAUCACUUGAUAUAGAAACGGAUAAUGUAGUGCAAGCCACAAUACGGAAAGAAUUUCAUAACUGUACAAUAAUAACCAUUGCACACAGACUACAGUCAAUAAUGGAUUCUGAUCGAGUGCUUGUCCUUGAGUCUGGGAGGAUUGCUGAAUUUGAUACUCCUGACAGAUUGCUACAAAAGAAAGGCAUGUUUUAUGAAAUGGUGUCCAAAGCUGGGAUGCUGCAAGAAAGAGACAGUUAAUGCUUUGGGGAACACUGUGUGUACAUUUUUCCUCCAAAUUCUAUUACAAUAAUGGUGUCAGUAACUUUUUCAUUCUAUAAUGAAGAUUAUUUUAAGCAGGGGGUGGGAAUAGGCACAGAUAAUAAAAAAUUGAACUGUCUACAAUAAUUUUUUUUAAUAUAAAGUGCAUGUGCCUUUUUAAAUAA